AUUGAACGCUGGCGGCAGGCCUAACACAUGCAAGUCGAACGGUAACAGGAAGACGCUUGCUUCUUUGCUGCCGAGUGGCGGACGGGUGAGUAAUGUCUGGGAAACUGCCUGAUGGAGGGGGAUAACUACUGGAAACGGUAGCUAAUACCGCAUAACGUCGCAAGACCAAAGAGGGGGACCUUCGGGCCUUUUGCCAUCGGAUGUGCCCAGAUGGGAUUAGCUAGUAGGUGGGGUAACGGCUCACCUAGGCGACGAUCCCUAGCUGGUCUGAGAGGAUGACCAGCCACACUGGAACUGAGACACGGUCCAGACUCCUACGGGAGGCAGCAGUGGGGAAUAUUGCACAAUGGGCGCAAGCCUGAUGCAGCCAUGCCGCGUGUAUGAAGAAGGCCUUCGGGUUGUAAAGUACUUUCAGCGGGGAGGAAGGGAGUAAAGUUAAUACCUUUGCUCAUUGACGUUACCCGCAGAAGAAGCACCGGCUAACUCCGUG
RNAcentral lists this ribosomal RNA (490 nucleotides) under uncultured bacterium. RNAcentral describes it as "partial 16S ribosomal RNA". It matches the Rfam family "Bacterial small subunit ribosomal RNA", at positions 30 to 507 of the family's 1533-position model. The record is from RNAcentral.